GCAUAACUAGAUAGCUCAGUUGAUUAGAGUGUGGUGCUGAUAAUGCCAAGGUUGCAGGUUUGAUCCCUGUAUGGGAUAGCUGCA
Molecule: transfer RNA, 84 nt
Filed under: Podarcis lilfordi (Lilford's wall lizard)
Lineage: Eukaryota; Metazoa; Chordata; Lepidosauria; Squamata; Lacertidae
Description: tRNA.Ile
Rfam family: tRNA (bases 12-70)
About the family: Transfer RNA (tRNA) molecules are approximately 80 nucleotides in length. Their secondary structure includes four short double-helical elements and three loops (D, anti-codon, and T loops).
Source: RNAcentral